UACAUACUUGCUUUCACCUAAAAAAUGCCGUGUGUAUUUCCCAUUCUUGCGUAACAAGAAUGACAUAAUGCUACUGGAGAAGGCUUAGGGGAUGGGCUAAGGGAACGAAUGAGGGAAUGGAGGACUGGAAAAUGGGAAAUGUUGGAAGUCUUCAGUCCAGAGAGGCAGAGGAUGGGAAGGGAAGGGAAAGAUCCAGAAACCUGAAACAAAUGGGAGAUAAAGAAGCAACGUCAAAGAAGAUUUGACAAACCCUUAGAGAACAUGGGAGCUCCCCAUUUCACAGAUGAAGAAACCAAGGUCCAGACUGAGAGAGCAAGUUAAGCCAAGCUGGAAAUUACACAUGGAAGCUGAGUCACCUCCGUCUCUCCCAGAGUCUGAGUUGGCUGUUACCAAGACCUUCCUCAUUAUUCAAACUCAUCCCACGAAUACCAAAAGCAACACUUGGUUGUGGAAGAUCUCCAGCUUCACAAGUCAUGAAAUGCACCUGCGCUGGGUACUUCUUGCUUACCACCUCACUAAGGAUUUACAACUCCUGACAUGUUGUAUUUCUGGUGACUAUAUUCUGAAUGAAAGCUUCUUGCCCAAGGCAAGGACAACUUCUUUACUCACCUUAACAUGAUCUCAGGUAAAGGAAAAGAAUUUUUAAAAAUCCCACUUUUAGAAUAUUAGGAAUGAAAAUCUUA
Nycticebus coucang (slow loris) is the source of this 683-nucleotide long non-coding RNA. RefSeq lists it as uncharacterized. The record is from RefSeq and is a predicted model, not a curated record. NCBI's taxonomy places the organism in Eukaryota, Metazoa, Chordata, Mammalia, Primates, Lorisidae. The transcript is spliced from 3 exons.